Molecule: unclassified non-coding RNA, 212 nt
Filed under: Hevea brasiliensis (rubber tree)
Lineage: Eukaryota; Viridiplantae; Streptophyta; Magnoliopsida; Malpighiales; Euphorbiaceae
Source: RNAcentral
UGGAUAUCAUUUUGUUUGAAGUUGCAGUGUGGUUAAGGCAGCAUUUAUCUGUUCGUAGGUAGGCAUGAGAUAACUCUCAUAAAGUAAAUUGAAUAUUAGUGUCUUGAAUUUGAUGAGAAAAUUACUAGUCAAACUUUUAAUCAGUUUUGCCUUCCAUGUAGAAGACUUCUAAUCACGGAGGAAUUGUGGAAGGGAUAUGGUAUAAGGUGUAG